RNAcentral lists this ribosomal RNA (174 nucleotides) under uncultured Bacillota bacterium. Its description in RNAcentral is "uncultured Firmicutes bacterium partial 16S ribosomal RNA". Lineage: Bacteria; Bacillati; Bacillota. The record is from RNAcentral.
UAUUACCGCGGCUGCUGGCACGUAGUUAGCCGGGGCUUCCUCUUGUGGUACCGUCAUUUGUUUCUUCCCACAAGACAGAGGUUUACAAUCCGAGAACCUUCUUCCCUCACGCGGCGUUGCUGGGUCAGGGUUUCCCCCAUUGCCCAAUAUUCCCCACUGCUGCCUCCCGUAGGA